UUUCGACCUGAGCUCAGUCAAGUUAGCUAGUCCCC
RNAcentral lists this ribosomal RNA (35 nucleotides) under Scenedesmus quadricauda. RNAcentral describes it as "partial 28S ribosomal RNA". Lineage: Eukaryota; Viridiplantae; Chlorophyta; Chlorophyceae; Sphaeropleales; Scenedesmaceae. The record is from RNAcentral.